AACUAGCCAUUGCUGACCUGUCAGCGCUUCACUAUUUACAACCGUCGCUCUGUACGCGCAUAUAGAAGGAAACAUCCGAAAUAAGCGAUCGAGCAAGCUUAUAAAAGCGAAAAGGAAAAAGAUUUCCCACUUAUUUAGAGACUAACGACGGUUGCUUUUCUUAUGUUUUUCCUGUAAUAACUGGUGGAUACUGUCCAAGUUUGGUCACAAAACGUGUGAGGAAGAAGUCGUUACAUUCAUGGAUAAGCCGAUGGAGACACCGAUUGAAUGAAAGUGAUUUAUUCCUCACCUGCGCGAAAAUAUCCUUAUUCUUCCUGUGCUUUUCGUCAGGUCCACAAAGCAGGUAGAUGGUGUCCAAGUUUGGUCAAAAACCUGUGAGAAAGAAGUCGUUACAUCUAUGGAUAAGCCGACGGAUGCACAGAUUGAACGGGAGUGAUUUAUUCCUUGCCUUCGCGAAAAUAUCCUUAUUCUUCCUGAGCUUUUCGUCAGGUGCACAAAGGUCGAGCAGAUGGUCGCCAUGUUGCAAAGUAUGGCACUCGACGUCCAGCGCGAAAAGGGCGGGAAUUUGUUACCUCAACCCAGACCCUUACUAACCGCGAGAUCACGGUAUCAUGAUUAUUCAAGCUAAUCUUUGUCAUAGCUGGGUUUGAACAAUUGGAGAAAAGCAAUAAUUGUGAUGUUAAUCCUCGCCACUCUUUGCAAACAAGAAAAGAGCUACUCAGACAAGUGGUUUACUUUGGAAAUUGCACCAGAUUUUGAAAGACUCCUAACUACAAUACGAAAAGACUCCUUUGAUUAACACACCAUGAUGUUAGCUCUUCUUACCUGGCUGGUUUCCAAAGAAAGGAAUAUCAUCUGUGUAUCUCCCUGAUGAUGAUGGCGUACAGUUUCCAUUGCUUUCCAAUUCUUCCUUUGCAUUUUGCAACACAUUGACAAGAUCCUGUUGAUCCUCUGGGUGAAUGUAGCCAAACAUGCUGCUUCCUGUCAGUUCAACCUGAAGAAGGAAAGGGGAAAGAUGCACACUUUUUAGUGUGUCUGUCAGACACCAACCUGUGACAGUCCAAGAUGAACAGACACAGUCUCUGAAACAUAGAGGACUUUUGCAUCGCUGGAAAGAACAAACAGGAAUCCAUCCAAUGCCUAAUGAAGAAUAAAACAUGAUAAGCACAGACAAGGAGAUCUACCAAUGAAGAAAUUGAUGAAGGAAAAAAGAAGAAUAUUCUUUGAAGAUACAAGAGGUACUAGCAACAGCUGGUGGAGAAGAAAUGGAAGAAGGUGGAGAGGGACUCUCUGUAUGAAGUUCUAAAAGAAAAUAAUAUAACACAGUAAGCUUUUUACAUUAUUCAUUCAACAAGGCAAGGUGUUCUUUUUUCAUCCGAAAUGAAAGAAUUUUCAGACAUCAACAAAGAAUUCUUCAGCCUAAUUUUGAUGACCUACAUGUAAAAUUUUUUUGGGGUUAAAUUCCCAUGUAAAUAA
Non-coding RNA from Pocillopora verrucosa, 1476 nucleotides. Lineage: Eukaryota; Metazoa; Cnidaria; Anthozoa; Scleractinia; Pocilloporidae. The record is from RefSeq and is a predicted model, not a curated record.